CGAUCUGAAAGGAACAUCGAAUUGUUGUUCCACUUAUUGAUGUACUCAUUGGUUGUUUCUUGUAUAUUCCCUGACUAGGGAUGAACCCAAACCUUGGGGUAUCGGGAGGAUGCUCUAACCAACUGAGCUACUCAUCCAGGGCUUGUUGUAUCCUUCUUUUAACUUCUUUCUAAAUUUCAAAUAUUCUACCAUGUAAAUGUAUUAUUUUUAGAACCUUUUGAAAUGAAAGAAAAGUUGAUAAUUAAAGCAGUUCAGAGUAUGCCACCCACAAAUAUACCACUCUGGUAUAAGGCUUAUUUUGAGGUGAAUGCAAUUGAGAGAUAGCAGACACAGGACAACCAACAUAGAUUCCUCCAGGAUGGGCAAAAUGAUUCUUAACCACCAGAGACAACUCUAGACUCUUAUCAGCCCAGAAACUGAACUGGAGGAAUCUAUGCAAAUCUUGCUAAAACAAUCCUUAUCUUCCA
Molecule: long non-coding RNA, 467 nt
Organism: Myotis brandtii (Brandt's bat)
Lineage: Eukaryota; Metazoa; Chordata; Mammalia; Chiroptera; Vespertilionidae
Exons: 3
Source: RefSeq, a predicted model, not a curated record